Molecule: ribosomal RNA, 822 nt
Filed under: uncultured bacterium
Lineage: Bacteria
Description: bacterial SSU rRNA
Rfam family: Bacterial small subunit ribosomal RNA
Source: RNAcentral
AGAGUUUGAUCCUGGCUCAGGAUGAACGCUGGCGGCGUGCUUAACACAUGCAAGUCGAACGGAGCGCCGGACACGGACUAUUUCGGUAGGAAGAGUGCGGAGGCUUAGUGGCGGACGGGUGAGUAACGCGUGGAUAACCUGCCGCAUACCGGGGGAUAACAGCUGGAAACAGCUGCUAAUACCGCAAAUGCCCGCAGUGCCGCAUGGCACAGCGGGGAAAACUCCGGUGGUAUGCGAUGGGUCCGCGUCUGAUUAGGCAGUUGGCGGGGUAACGGCCCACCAAACCGACGAUCAGUAGCCGGCCUGAGAGGGCGGACGGCCACACUGGGACUGAGACACGGCCCAGACUCCUGCGGGAGGCAGCAGUGGGGAAUAUUGCACAAUGGGGGAAACCCUGAUGCAGCGACGCCGCGUGAAGGAAGAAGUAUCUCGGUAUGUAAACUUCUAUCAGCAGGGAAGAAAACAGACGGUACCUGACUAAGAAGCCCCGGCUAACUACGUGCCAGCAGCCGCGGUAAUACGUAGGGGGCAAGCGUUAUCCGGAUUUACUGGGUGUAAAGGGGGCGCAGACGGCCAUGGCAAGCCCGGUGUGAAAGGCAGGGGCAUAACCCCUGGACUGCACUGGGAACUGUCAGGCUGGAGUGCCGGAGGGGUAAGCGGAAUUCCUGGUGUAGCGGUGAAAUGCGUAGAUAUCAGGAGGAACACCGGCGGCGAAGGCGGCUUACUGGACGGCAACUGACGUUGAGGCCCGAAAGCGUGGGGAGCGAACAGGAUUAGAUACCCUGGUAGUCCACGCCGUAAACGAUGUAUACCAGGUGUCGG